GAGUUUGAUCCUGGCUCAGGACGAACGCUGCGGCGUGCUUAAUACAUGCAAGUUGAACGAGAAAGUUCUCUUCGGAGGAUGAGUAAAGUAGCAAACGGGUGAGUAAUACGUAGGUAAUCUACCUCAUAGACGGGGAUAACGUUGGGAAACUGGCGCUAAGACCUGAUACGCAGCAAUGUAAAAUACAGCAUUAAAGAAUGCAGUAGCUAUGAGAUGAGCUUGCGCCCCAUUAGCUAGUUGGUAAGGUAAAGGCUUACCAAGGCUAUGAUGGGUAGGGGUCCUGAGAGGGAGAUCCCCCACACCGGGACUGAGAUACGGCCCAGACUUCUACGGGAGGCAGCAGUAGGGAAUAUUGCACAAUGGAGGAAACUCUGAUGCAGCAACCCCGCGUGAGCGAUGAAGGAUUUAGGUUUGUAAAGCUCUGUUGAGAAGGAAGAUAGUUUCUAAGUUAAUAGCUUGGGAAGUAGACGGUACUUUUCGAGGAAGCUCCGGCUAAUUACGUGCCAGCAGCCGCGGUAAUACGUAAGGAGCAAGCGUUGUCCGGAAUCAUUGGGCGUAAAGGGUGCGCAGGCGGUAUUGAAGGUCAGUUGUGAAAGCUUGGUGCUCAACACCAAGAGUGCAAUUGAAACCGCAGUACUAGAGGGUAGAAGAGGAAAGUGGAAUUCCGUAUGUAGCGGUGAAAUGCUUAGAUAUACGGAAGAACACCAAUGGCGAAGGCAGCUUUCUGGUCUACUACUGACGCUGAGGCACGAAAGCGUGGGGAGCGAACGGGAUUAGAUACCCCGGUAGUCCACGCCGUAAACGAUGAAUACUAGGUGUCGGCAGGUAAUAAACUGUCGGUGCCGUAGCUAACGCAUUAAGUAUUCCGCCUGGGGAGUACGAUCGCAAGAUUAAAACUCAAAGGAAUUGACGGGGGCCCGCACAAGCGGUGGAUUAUGUGGUUUAAUUCGAUGCAACGCGAAGAACCUUACCUGGUCUUGACAUUUGCCGACCGCCUAAGAGAUUAGGUUUUCCAGCAAUGGACGGUAGGACAGGUGCUGCAUGGCUGUCGUCAGCUCGUGUCGUGAGAUGUUGGGUCAAGUCCCGCAACGAGCGCAACCCCUGUUGUUAGUUACUAGCGCGUAAUCGCGAGCACUCUAACGAGACUGCCGGUGACAAACCGGAGGAAGGUGGGGAUGACGUCAAGUCCUCAUGGCCCUUAUGACCAGGGCUACACACGUAAUACAAUGGCACGUACAAAGAGCAGCGAAACCGCGAGGUCAAGCGAAUCUCAAAAACGUGUCACAGUUCGGAUUGUAGUCUGCAACUCGACUACAUGAAGUCGGAAUCGCUAGUAAUCGUAGAUCAGCAUGCUACGGUGAAUACGUUCUCGGGCCUUGUACACACCGCCCGUCACACCACCCGAGUUGAAUGCACCCGAAGUCGCUGAUGCCAACCUGAAUGGGAGGCAGGUGCCGAAGGUGUGUUGAGUAAGGGGGGUGAAGC
Molecule: ribosomal RNA, 1485 nt
Filed under: metagenome
Description: bacterial SSU rRNA
Rfam family: Bacterial small subunit ribosomal RNA
Source: RNAcentral